This is a long non-coding RNA of Cyprinus carpio (common carp), 1981 nucleotides long. RefSeq lists it as uncharacterized. The transcript is spliced from 6 exons. The record is from RefSeq and is a predicted model, not a curated record. NCBI's taxonomy places the organism in Eukaryota, Metazoa, Chordata, Actinopteri, Cypriniformes, Cyprinidae.
ACUGAAGACUACAAUUAUUUGAUAAAAAAUGCAUUAAAAACAGAGAUAUUGUAAAGUAUUUGUAUGUAUAAGUUUGUAUGUAAAUGAUGUCUGCUAUGAUCAGCUGCCAAGGUGUUGAAUAUUGAGUUGAUAUGUAAAUUUGGGUGGGUCAUAUGUUAAUGAGCCCAUUUGUGAUGUAAUGAUCAUGAUGAGGACAGUGGAAGAAAAUAAUUUCUGUGAAUAAUGAUUCAAAUUUUGAUCUUUUUCUCCAGAGCUACUGAAUGCUUUCAGAAAUGGACUACUUCUGUCACUUUUAUAGUAAUAUAGUUUGUGUGUGUGUGUGGCUAUUUUGGACCUUUUAGUUUCAAUAGCCUAUGUAGAAAGAGAGGCAGAAAAUUCAGUGUUCUGCCGUUUCACACAGCUUUGCUUUAGUGUGUUGGUAUGAAUUGGGGGAUAUGCAUCUGAGGGAUCCCCAGAGCCAAAUCCAAACAUCUGUCUGUUUCACCUCUGCAUCGCUUGAGUGAGUAUGUAAAUGAUCGCUCCAUGUUAUCACCUCUUUAACACACUGGUGAUCUGUCACAUCUGUUUAGACUUUAGGCUGUGAUGCACGACUGUAACAGACAGACAUUAUCAUCAUCAAUCAGAGAAAUUAUUUAGCAGUAUUAACAGCACUUGCAUUAUAGGUGCAUGAAUUAUCAACAAUUGAAUAAUCCUUUACAGGGCUAAAUACUCUCCUCUUUUACCCUCUCCUCCUCAGAAUGUGUUGGAAUGUGGAAUCUGAUCAAACUUGCUGUGAGUGUGGAAGAGACAGAAAGUUCAUACAUGAAAACAAAAGAAGAUAUCUGGACAAACAUUGAGGUCCAACAACAUUGGAUGUUCAUUUGUUAGGGUCAAACAAGUUAGGAACAACAUGAGGACAACAGAGAAAGCAAGGUCAAUAUGGCCCUAAGGAAAUGAAAUUCCCUAAAGAUAUGCAUAUGGCUCCGGCUGGUGCAAAUCAAUAUUUUCUAUGCGGCACACCGCCCUGAUCAAUCGUGCAUCAUGAAGGUUCAAUAAGAGUUUUCUUAAGCCUUGAGCACACGGCCUGCACUGUUUUCAUUGACGUCUGCUGUUCUGAUGUAUAUUUGACUGCUGGGUGUAACUUCUGUCCUGGAGAAGCAACAGUCGGAUUUUACUACAAGGAACUUUGACGAUGUUAGGGGAACACCCAUUGAUUGACAAACAUCUCGCACCCUCCUUAAAGGGGAGUCAUGCAUAUCUUCAUCUAGAAGAGAGUUCAGAUCUCUGAGUCAUCAAAACGGAGCGCCAGCAUUGUGAUUGAACUGAACAAAAACAGGAUUCUGGGCGUAUAUCCAAAGGGCGGGGAAAAUACAGAAGACAGGGAGAGCAAGUUCCUUUCAAACAAUAAUCUGCGCGGGAAAGAGAGGACAAGAGACAUGGGGGAUGGGUCUGUGAGUCUUUUAUCUCAAGUUUCCCACAUCCUGCCGCCUAGUUUAAAACCGGCCACCCAAUUUGAAAGAAUGCCUGGUAUGCACCUCAUUUCCAUAGUGCCCCGCAUUGUUCUCUAUUUAAAUAAAGACUGUUGCCCGCCAAUAGGAGAAACAAAAAACUUUGCGCGCUAAUUUGAGAAUAAUGAGGUAAUGCAGUGCAUGCUGUCUUCAUAUGCACUUUGUAGACCUACUUCACAUGGACAAAAAACAAAAAAGUUGUCCAUUGGGAUGAUGACGCAUUUUAUGUACAGAAAAGGAAAGCGUGGGUUGCAUUACACUGCAGAAUACUUUCUACAUGUUUUUUCUUCCUCUUGAAGAACUGAUUGAACUGAUUGUGUUCCUUGAAUGCAAUAUACAAGGAAAACUUUAAAGUUGCACAUUUGUGACCCUGGACCACAAAACCAGUCUUAAGUAGCACAGUUAUAUUUGUAGCAAUAGCCAACAAUAUAUUGUAUAGGUCAAAAUUAUUGAUUUUUCUUUUAUGCCAAAACUACGUUGGCCGAGAGACCUCA